UGAGGAAUCUUGCGCAAUGGGGGAAACCCUGACGCAGCAACGCCGCGUGAGUGGGGAAGGUCUUCGGGUCGUAAAGCUCUGUCAGGCGGGAAGAAAUGCAUGGAGGUGAACAGCCGCCAUGCUUGACGGUACCGCCAGAGGAAGCACCGGCUAACUCCGUGCCAGCAGCCGCGGUAAUACGGGGGGUGCAAGCGUUGUUCGGAAUCAUUGGGCGUAAAGAGCGUGUAGGCGGCUUGGUAAGUCAGAUGUGAAAGCCCUGGGCUCAACCCGGGAAGUGCAUUUGAAACUGGCAGGCUCGAGUAGGGGAGAGGGAAGUGGAAUUCCUGGUGUAGAGGUGAAAUUCGUAGAUAUCAGGAGGAACACCGGUGGCGAAGGCGACUUCCUGGCCCUAUACUGACGCUGAGACGCGAGAGCGUGGGUAGCAA
This 425-nucleotide ribosomal RNA is filed under the name uncultured bacterium. RNAcentral's name for it is "bacterial SSU rRNA". It matches the Rfam family "Bacterial small subunit ribosomal RNA", at positions 355 to 771 of the family's 1533-position model. The record is from RNAcentral.